This 200-nucleotide unclassified non-coding RNA is filed under the name uncultured fungus. RNAcentral describes it as "sequence contains ITS1". The record is from RNAcentral. Lineage: Eukaryota; Fungi.
GUGUUAUUAACUUUUAUAAAAACGUUCAUGCACAUACAAAAAGGGUUUUGUAAAUAGAAAACAUAGGCCAAUCUCUUAGCCUACAAGAGGUUCACAGGUUUUGAAAAGGGGACAGAGAGGUGUGCACGGAGAAGACCAGCAACAACCUCUCCUUGAAUUGUUUUUCAAUAAUGAUCCUUCCGCAGGUUCACCUACGGAAA